Molecule: long non-coding RNA, 2063 nt
Organism: Rosa rugosa (rugosa rose)
Lineage: Eukaryota; Viridiplantae; Streptophyta; Magnoliopsida; Rosales; Rosaceae
Exons: 2
Source: RefSeq, a predicted model, not a curated record
AUUUUCUAUGUGUUGUAGUAUAUAUGACUCAUGUUGUAGUAUGUAUGAGUCAUAGUAUAAAUGUCUAUAUCAUGUAAUAAGUACUUGAGUGUAUAGAUAGGUACUUGAGUGUAUAAACAUAGGUACUUGAGUGUAUGAAGACUUGUGUGACAUGCUUUAUACCAAGAGGCAACAAGCAUGGCAGAUUUCAUCAUUGAAUGCAAGUAUGUGGAGCUGCAGCCCUCAAUCAACAAGAGAAGAUUGUUACCAAAUUGAGUUUCUCUUAGAGCUUUCACACUAGCUAUGUAUUCCUAUAAAUACACUCCUUUGUGAGAAGAAUAAUACACAUGAAUUCUCAUUCUCUCUGAAUCGAAACUCUCUCUCUCUCUCUGUCAAUUUUGAUUGUCCUUAAACACGUUAUCAGCACGAAGUUGCUCUAGAAUUAGAAUCGAAAAUUGACAAGAGUAGAGUUCAUCAUCAAUCGAAGUCAUUUUUCCAAACCUACAAAAAACCUCCAAAACCUAGCUCAUAUCAAAGCCAUUGAUCCCAGAAGCCCAGAACCGGCCUCAGAAUCGCCGGAACCGGCCGGAAAAGGCCUGAACCGGCCGCCGGAAUUUUUGAACAGAACCAGACCGCUGCCAAGUGCUGCCGAGCAGCUGCGCAGCAGCUGCCGAGACCCUGCGCAGCAGCUGCCGAGAAGCUGCGCAGCAGCUGCCGAGACCCUGCGCAGCAGCUGCCGAGAAGCUGCGCAGCAGCUGCCGAGCGACCUGCGCAGCAGCUGCCGAGAAGCUGCGCAGCAGCUGCCGAGUCACCUGCCAAACACUUUUAAGUGAUUUUCCUGUGCAGAUCAGCCUGUUUGCACGCCCCGAAACAUCUUGAUAGGGACCUCAGAUCAAAAUCUUUCCUUCAUCAAAGUUGUUCGUCUAUGUCUCUUCUAUCUGACCUCCAAAUUGUAGCCCUGUUGGAGUAGUUUUGAGACCUGUACACCAUUCGAAGUGGGAGCUGUUCAGCACGCUCGUUCCUGUGCAGAUCAGCCUGUUUGCACACCCUGAAACAUCUUGUUCAGCACCUUUAAUCAAAAUACUUUCUUCAUCAAAGUUCUUCAUAUAUGUCUUUUCUAUCUGACUUCAAAAUUUCAGCCCUGUUGAAGUCGUUUUAAGACAUGUACACCAUUCAAAGUGGGAGCUAUUCAGUAUGAUCGUUCCUGUGCAGAUCAACCUGCUUGCACGCCGAUAAACGUCCUUUUCGGGACAUCUAAUCAAAAUCAUUUCUUCAUCAAAGUUGUUAAUCUCUGUCUCUUAUAUCUUAUCUCCAAAUUUCAGCCCUGUUGGAGCAGUUUUAAGACCUGUAUAACAUUUGAAGUGCGAUCUGUUCAGAAGCAAAUUUGCUCCGAAUUUCAACAAGAUGUCGAAUGAACCUAGACUCGACUUUCCAAUGCUUGACUCAACAGGCUCGGAAUACCAUGGCUGGGUAACCAACGUUGAGAACCAUCUCACUACGAGAGGGAUAUUGCCCAUAAUACAGGCACCUAACCAGGGCCUUGUGUUCCAACGAACACCCACAAAGCAUGCUGCUCAAGUAAUUAUCUUGAUGUGAUACCAUAUGGAUCAAUUGAAGCAUUGGUUCAAGCAAUGCCAUGCAAGUACCCAACUAGCUGCAAGCUACAAGGAGUAUAGGCAAUUGAGAGAGCAAGAAAUCAAUCUUGCUGAAGAUGAAGAUAUCAAUCUUGCUGAAGAUGAAGAUGGUGAAGAUAUCACUCUCACCACUGAGGACUUCAAAGCUGUAAAGAGCACGAGGAUGCCGCAGACUUUGAUUAGAAUAGUCCUUUUCUAUUUUCCAAUAAAACGGCAAAUGUGCCUUAGUCAACAAAUGACAAUUGUAUUGACUCUUUCUCAUGUGGCGUACCCAAUGAAGUAUGAUGUCUAGGAAAGUAAUUGAGAUCGGGGUAUUUAAGCGAGCCUCGCUCCACCAACAUCUCUCUACUUCCCUGGUCAUAUUUCAUUGGAAUUACCAAACGGAUUGGCAAUUACAAUUUGUAUAAGUUUGAUUUUAUUUUGGAAUAGAUUUUGGAAACUUUGAUGUAA